CCUACGGGUGGCAGCAGUGAGGAAUAUUGGUCAAUGGACGCAAGUCUGAACCAGCCAUGCCGCGUGCAGGAUGACGGCUCUAUGAGUUGUAAACUGCUUUUGUACGAGGGUAAAUGCAGAUAAGCGUAUCAGUCUGAAAGUAUCGUACGAAUAAGGAUCGGCUAACUCCGUGCCAGCAGCCGCGGUAAUACGGAGGAUGCGAGCGUUAUCCGGAUUGAUUGGGGUUGAAGGGUGCGCGGGCGGAUUUUUAUGUCAGCGGUAAAAUCGUGGGGCUAAACCCCAUACAGCCGUUGAAACUGGGGAUCUAGAGUAUGCGAGAGGUAUGCGGAAUGCGUGGUGUAGCGGUAAAAUGCAUAGAUAUCACGCAGAACCCCGAUUGCGAAGGCGGCAUACCGGUGCACAACUGACGCUCAGGCGCGAAAGCGUGGGUAUCGAACAGGAUUAGAUACCCGAGUAGUC
This 459-nucleotide ribosomal RNA is filed under the name uncultured bacterium. RNAcentral's name for it is "partial 16S ribosomal RNA". It matches the Rfam family "Bacterial small subunit ribosomal RNA", at positions 338 to 795 of the family's 1533-position model. The record is from RNAcentral.